UUAAUUGUUCUGCUUAUCUAAUCAGUUGGCAAAACUAUAACCUUAUGACAUGAAAGUUAUAAGUAAUAUGCAACAGCUGGCGGGAUCAUCAAACAAGAAAUCAUCUGCUGGUGGUGAUUUCUCACUCAAGUUCAGUAACCAGAAGGUAAACAUAUUCAGUUCUUAUAGUACCUACUCCUUUGUAUAGAAUCAAUCAAAACUAAAACAUCACGUAC
RNAcentral lists this long non-coding RNA (215 nucleotides) under Glycine max (soybean). RNAcentral describes it as "long non-coding RNA (GMAX_LNC003595)". Lineage: Eukaryota; Viridiplantae; Streptophyta; Magnoliopsida; Fabales; Fabaceae. The record is from RNAcentral.